CCUACGGGAGGCAGCAGUGAGGAAUAUUGGUCAAUGGGCGCGAGCCUGAACCAGCCAAGUAGCGUGAAUGAUGACUGCCCUACGGGUUGUAAACUUCUUUUACAAAGAAAUAAAGUGAGUCACGAGUGCCCUUUUGUAUGUACGUUAUGAAUAAGGACCGGCUCACUCCGUGCCAGCAGACGCGGUAAUACGGAGGGUCCGAUCGUUAUCCGGAUUUAUUGGGUUGAAGGGGAGCGGAGCUGGGUUGUUAAGUUAGUUGUGAAAGGUUGGGGCUCAACCGGGAAAGUGCAAUUGAUACUGGCAGGCUUGAGUCUAGUUGAGGUAGGCGGAAUUCGUGGUGUAGCGGUGAAAUGCUUAGAUAUCAGGAAGAACUCCGAUUGCGAAGGCAGCCUGCUGGACUGUAACUGACGCUGAUGUUCGAAAGUGUGGGUAUCAAACAGGAUUAGAUACCCGGGUAGUC
Molecule: ribosomal RNA, 460 nt
Filed under: uncultured bacterium
Lineage: Bacteria
Description: partial 16S ribosomal RNA
Rfam family: Bacterial small subunit ribosomal RNA
Source: RNAcentral